GCAGUCGAGCGGACAGAAGGGAGCUUGCUCCCGGAUGUUAGCGGCGGACGGGUGAGUAACACGUGGGUAACCUGCCUGUAAGACUGGGAUAACUCCGGGAAACCGGAGCUAAUACCGGAUAGUUCCUUGAACCGCAUGGUUCAAGGAUGAAAGACGGUUUCGGCUGUCACUUACAGAUGGACCCGCGGCGCAUUAGCUAGUUGGUGAGGUAACGGCUCACCAAGGCGACGAUGCGUAGCCGACCUGAGAGGGUGAUCGGCCACACUGGGACUGAGACACGGCCCAGACUCCUACGGGAGGCAGCAGUAGGGAAUCUUCCGCAAUGGACGAAAGUCUGACGGAGCAACGCCGCGUGAGUGAUGAAGGUUUUCGGAUCGUAAAGCUCUGUUGUUAGGGAAGAACAAGUGCAAGAGUAACUGCUUGCACCUUGACGGUACCUAACCAGAAAGCCACGGCUAACUACGUGCCAGCAGCCGCGGUAAUACGUAGGUGGCAAGCGUUGUCCGGAAUUAUUGGGCGUAAAGGGCUCGCAGGCGGUUUCUUAAGUCUGAUGUGAAAGCCCCCGGCUCAACCGGGGAGGGUC
Molecule: ribosomal RNA, 583 nt
Filed under: Bacillus sp. (in: firmicutes)
Lineage: Bacteria; Bacillati; Bacillota; Bacilli; Caryophanales; Bacillaceae
Description: bacterial SSU rRNA
Rfam family: Bacterial small subunit ribosomal RNA
Source: RNAcentral